GGCAAUGGCCGUUGGUUUGGUAGUGGUUUUGUGUCGUUUUUGUAUUAUUUCUUUAUUUUCUAAUAUUUCUUUAAGUGUUACUGGUUAAGUUAAUUGUGGUCUGUGAACUACACAUAUUUAAGUACUUUGUGGACAAUUUAUUAUUUGCGUAGUUCUCAGGAACUGGCAAUUAAAAUGCUGUGAACUCAGUGUACAGUUACUACUUGUCAAAAUAGCCUAGAAAAGGCUAAAAAUUUGGAAAAAUUAUUAAAUUUCAUGCUUUCCCGAAGAAUACCGAAAUUACUCAAAUAUGGGUGCAGAUUCAAAGGGUGUAGAGUUGUAGAGAUGGAAAAUGGAAUGUAGAAACUUGUAGGAUUUGUUCAGAUCAUUUUACCGAUGACGAUUAUGAAAGAGAUCUUCAAGUAAGAGGAAUUAUUAGGACUUGGAAACUAAGAAAAACAUUAAAAGCAAUUGUUAUAUAGGUAUGAGUAGAAUCUUAUGUAAAAG
Long non-coding RNA from Sitophilus oryzae (rice weevil), 486 nucleotides. RefSeq lists it as uncharacterized. The record is from RefSeq and is a predicted model, not a curated record. The transcript has 3 exons. NCBI's taxonomy places the organism in Eukaryota, Metazoa, Arthropoda, Insecta, Coleoptera, Curculionidae.